RNAcentral lists this transfer RNA (72 nucleotides) under Perkinsus marinus ATCC 50983. It matches the Rfam family "tRNA". From Rfam's summary of the family: Transfer RNA (tRNA) molecules are approximately 80 nucleotides in length. Their secondary structure includes four short double-helical elements and three loops (D, anti-codon, and T loops). The record is from Rfam by way of RNAcentral. Lineage: Eukaryota; Perkinsozoa; Perkinsida; Perkinsidae.
GUCACUUUAGCUUAGUGGCAGAGCGUCUGCUUUGAGAGCAGAGGGUGGUCAGUUCGGUCCUGGUAAGUGGCU